AAACAGGACCUGGAACAUCCAGGGAGCGUCUGGGCUGCAGGUUUAAAAAAUAUCCUGGACUUUGGAAAAUAUUCUUAUAUAAAGAAGCAAAAAGAGGAUGGAAUAGACUUGUGCUAACACUGAAACUCCAGUCAAGUUGUAAACUGAAAAAGAACGUGUUGAAACAAGGAAUUGCCCCAUAGCCUUCACAGCUAAGAAUUCUGACUGGGGGAGAAGAACGGUAGGCCAUUUUGGAGCAUGGAGCAUCUUGAGAGAUAUGAAAAAUCUGGGUAAGAUGAUAUACAGGCAGGUAGAAGAGGGAAGGAAAAA
This 309-nucleotide long non-coding RNA is filed under the name Homo sapiens (human). Its description in RNAcentral is "non-protein coding lnc-C15orf48-4:4". Lineage: Eukaryota; Metazoa; Chordata; Mammalia; Primates; Hominidae. The record is from RNAcentral.